UACAGAGGGUGCGAACGUUGUUCGGAAUUACUGGGCGUAAAGCGCGUGUAGGCGGCAAUGCAAGUCGGGCGUGAAACCCCACGGCUCAACCGUGGAAGUGCACUCGAAACUGCAUAGCUAGAGUCCUGGAGAGGAAGGUGGAAUGCUUGGUGUAGAGGUGAAAUUCGUAGAUAUCAAGCGGAACACCGGUGGCGAAGGCGGCCUUCUGGACAGUGACUGACGCUGAGACGCGAAAGCGUGGGGAGCAAACAGG
This 253-nucleotide ribosomal RNA is filed under the name uncultured bacterium. RNAcentral describes it as "partial 16S ribosomal RNA". It matches the Rfam family "Bacterial small subunit ribosomal RNA", at positions 524 to 776 of the family's 1533-position model. The record is from RNAcentral.